UUCUGCAUUGUAGCAGCCUUGAACAAAGGGCGAUAGAGUUAGGAGGUGUACAGAUAAGGAGAACAGAAAAUGAGCAUCAUAAAAGAAAUGAAAGACAAAAAGGGGAAACGGAGGUGGAGGCUGCUGAGUGCAUAGGAGCUCCUGCACAAGGGGAAACUGCAAGUGGGGAUGGAGGAAGAGAGAGAAGAACAGAAAACUGUGACAAAAGACAUGCACAAAAUAAAAGGUGGAAGAAGAACAGAUCCCCGACUUUUCAGAGCCACUCUGCAAAAAAAGUCAGCUCAUUCAGAUCCCCCAAAUCCAGGGAGAAAUUGCAGAUUGAGAUAAUUUGGGCCACACAAGAAGAAGAGAUGGAAAGCCCAGCAGGAACUUCAGAGCCUCCACCAAAAUGCUUGGCUAGCUGCACCUGCAUGUGAGACUACUUGAGAAGAGGGGAAGUACAUGAAAAUACCUGCUCAGAUCUGGGCCUAGCUGAAAGCCAGGAACGGAUGCAGCCUCUACCUCCUAUGUAAACUGCCAGUCUGAACUGCUUCAUUGCUGAACGAAAUAGCUCUCAUCCCAAUUCCAGCCUUCCUGACCUGGG
This is a long non-coding RNA of Rhineura floridana, 583 nucleotides long. RefSeq lists it as uncharacterized. NCBI's taxonomy places the organism in Eukaryota, Metazoa, Chordata, Lepidosauria, Squamata, Rhineuridae. The record is from RefSeq and is a predicted model, not a curated record. The transcript is spliced from 3 exons.